GUUUUUAUAGUUGAAUAACAACGAUGAUUUUUCAUGUCAUUGGUCA
This 46-nucleotide transfer RNA is filed under the name Dremomys rufigenis belfieldi. Its description in RNAcentral is "partial tRNA-Glu". Lineage: Eukaryota; Metazoa; Chordata; Mammalia; Rodentia; Sciuridae. The record is from RNAcentral.